This 379-nucleotide ribosomal RNA is filed under the name uncultured organism. RNAcentral describes it as "bacterial SSU rRNA". It matches the Rfam family "Bacterial small subunit ribosomal RNA", at positions 526 to 896 of the family's 1533-position model. The record is from RNAcentral.
CAGAGACCCCAAGCAUUAUCCGGAUUUAUUGGGCGUAAAGGGUGUGUAGGUGGUUUUGUAAGUCAUUUGUUAAAUCUUCAGGCUCAACCUGGAGGCUGCAGGUGAUACUACAAGGCUAGAGUAUGGGAGAGGUAAGCGGAAUGCCCGGUGUAGCGGUAAAAUGCGUUAAUAUCGGGUAGAACACCAAAGGCGAAAGCAGCUUACUGGAACAUUACUGACACUGAAACACGAAAGCGUGGGUAGCGAAAGGGAUUAGAUACCCCUGUAGUCCACGCCGUAAACGAUGAUCACUAGAUUUUGGGAGUAUCGACCCUCCCAGAGUCGUCGAAACAAGCUAACGCGUUAAGUGAUCCGCCCGGGAAGUACGAUCGCAAGAUUA